GACGAACGCUGGCGGCGUGCUUAACACAUGCAAGUCGAACGGAAAGGCCCUGCUUUUGUGGGGUGCUCGAGUGGCGAACGGGUGAGUAACACGUGAGUAACCUGCCCUUGACUUUGGGAUAACUUCAGGAAACUGGGGCUAAUACCGGAUAGGAGCUCCUGCUGCAUGGUGGGGGUUGGAAAUUUUCGGCGGUUGGGGAUGGACUCGCGGCUUAUCAGCUUGUUGGUGGGGUAGUGGCUUACCAAGGCUUUGACGGGUAGCCGGCCUGAGAGGGUGACCGGCCACAUUGGGACUGAGAUACGGCACAGACUACUACGGGAGGCAGCAGUGGGGAAUAUUGAACAAUGGGCGGAAGACUGAUGCAGCAACGCCGCGUGCGGGAUGACGGCCUUCGGGUUGUAACCCGCUUUCGCCUGUGACGAAGCGUGAGUGACGGUAAUGGGUAAAGAAGCACCGGCUAACUACGUG
Molecule: ribosomal RNA, 468 nt
Filed under: uncultured bacterium
Lineage: Bacteria
Description: partial 16S ribosomal RNA
Rfam family: Bacterial small subunit ribosomal RNA
Source: RNAcentral